UGGGGAAUCUUAGACAAUGGGCGAAAGCCUGAUCUAGCCAUGCCGCGUGAGUGACGAAGGCCCUAGGGUCGUAAAGCUCUUUCGCCAGGGAAGAUAAUGACGGUACCUGGUAAAGAAACCCCGGCUAACUCCGUGCCAGCAGCCGCGGUAAUACGGAGGGGGUUAGCGUUGUUCGGAAUUACUGGGCGUAAAGCGCACGUAGGCGGACCAGUCAGUCAGAGGUGAAAUCCCAGGGCUCAACCCUGGAACUGCCUUUGAUACUGCUGGUCUCGAGUCCGAGAGAGGUGAGUGGAAUUCCGAGUGUAGAGGUGAAAUUCGUAGAUAUUCGGAGGAACACCAGUGGCGAAGGCGGCUCACUGGCUCGGUACUGACGCUGAGGUGCGAAAGCGUGGGGAGCAAACAGGAUUAGAUACCCCGGUAGUCC
Molecule: ribosomal RNA, 424 nt
Filed under: uncultured prokaryote
Description: bacterial SSU rRNA
Rfam family: Bacterial small subunit ribosomal RNA
Source: RNAcentral